RNAcentral lists this ribosomal RNA (406 nucleotides) under uncultured bacterium. Its description in RNAcentral is "partial 16S ribosomal RNA". It matches the Rfam family "Bacterial small subunit ribosomal RNA", at positions 30 to 526 of the family's 1533-position model. The record is from RNAcentral.
AUUGAACGCUGGCGGCAGGCCUAACACAUGCAAGUCGAACGAGUGGCGGACGGGUGAGUAAUGUCUGGGAAACUGCCCGAUGGAGGGGGAUAACUACUGGAAACGGUAGCUAAUACCGCAUACUAUCGGAUGUGCCCAGAUGGGAUUAGCUUGUAGGUGAGGUAACGGCUCACCUAGGCGACGAUCCGUAUCUGGUCUGAGAGGAUGAUCAGUCACACUGGAACUGAGACACGGUCCAGACUCCGACGGGAGGCAGCAGUGGGGAAUAUUGGACAAUGGGCGAAAGCCUGAUCCAGCCAUGCCGCGUGUGUGAAGAAGGCCUUCGGAUUGUAAAGCACUUUCAGUUGGGAGGCGUUACCAACAGAAGAAGCACCGGCUAACUCCGUGCCAGCAGCCGCGGUAAUAC